GAUGAACGCUGGCGGCGUGCCUAAUACAUGCCAGUCGAGCGAACAGACGAGGAGCUUGCUCCUCUGACGUUAGCGGCGGACGGGUGAGUAACACGUGGAUAACCUACCUAUAAGACUGGGAUAACUUCGGGAAACCGGAGCUAAUACCGGAUAAUAUAUUGAACCGCAUGGUUCAAUAGUGAAAGACGGUUUUGCUGUCACUUAUAGAUGGAUCCGCGCCGCAUUAGCUAGUUGGUAAGGUAACGGCUUACCAAGGCAACGAUGCGUAGCCGACCUGAGAGGGUGAUCGGCCACACCGGAACUGAGACACGGUCCAGACUCCUACGGGAGGCAGCAGUAGGGAAUCUUCCGCAAUGGGGGAAAGCUUGACGGAGCAACGCCGCGUGAGUGAUGAAGGUCUGCGGAUCGUAAAACUCUGUUAUUAGGGAAGAACAAAUGUGUAAGUAACUAUGCACGUCUUGACGGUACCUAAUCAGAAAGCCACGGCUAACUACGUG
This 497-nucleotide ribosomal RNA is filed under the name uncultured bacterium. RNAcentral describes it as "partial 16S ribosomal RNA". It matches the Rfam family "Bacterial small subunit ribosomal RNA", at positions 28 to 507 of the family's 1533-position model. The record is from RNAcentral.